This 288-nucleotide long non-coding RNA is filed under the name Malus domestica (apple). RNAcentral's name for it is "long non-coding RNA (MDOM_LNC003504)". The record is from RNAcentral. Lineage: Eukaryota; Viridiplantae; Streptophyta; Magnoliopsida; Rosales; Rosaceae.
CGUCCCUAGUAAAGUCUAGAGCUUCUCACAGUAAACAAAAAUGGCGUCUCAGUUGCAGAAGAUCGAAGGAGACGAAUCCGUACUGCUCCGCGUUACACAUUCCAAUCUGAAGACCUUCUCCGCCGACAUCCGCUUCUCCCUCCAGAGCUCCGUCGAGUCCGUCAAGGACAAGCUCUGGCGCAAAUGCGGCACCUCCGUCGAUUCCAUGUCCCUCCACCUCUACGACGACGCCAACACCCUAGUCUCCACUCUCACCGACAACUCCAAACCCCUCGGCUUCUAUUCCCC